AAAGCUGCGGCGUGCCUAAGAAAUGCAAGUCGAGCGGUUCCCUUCUUCACCGAGCCUGUGCGUUGUCGGUGGAAGUUCUUCCUUUGUAGCCGUCUGUUCCCUUUUUGGGAACGGGGCGUGCUUGCCGGGGAGGAUUUCUCUGCUGCGGUGUGCGGGUUGGGUGAAGAAGGGUGCAGCGGCGAACGGUCGCGUACCACGUAAGCAACCUGCCCCGAAGACCGGGACAACACUUCGAAAGGGGUGCUAAUACCGGAUGUGGCCGGGUGGAGACAUCUUCACCCGUCUAAAUCCCUUGUGGGCUUCGGGAGGGGCUUGCGGCCUAUCAGCUAGUUGGAGGGGUAACGGCCCACCAAGGCGACGACGGGUAGCUGGUCUGAGAGGAUGGUCAGCCGGACUGGGACUGAGAUACGGCCCAGACUCCUACGGGGGGCAGCAAUUA
This 439-nucleotide ribosomal RNA is filed under the name uncultured bacterium. RNAcentral's name for it is "bacterial SSU rRNA". It matches the Rfam family "Bacterial small subunit ribosomal RNA", at positions 32 to 357 of the family's 1533-position model. The record is from RNAcentral.